AAUACUGAGAACUGGGAUCUAGACAAGACUUCUGCAGAGCUGAAGCAGCAGAAAAAUACACGUAACACUCAUGCAGAAAUUGCCUUCUCCUCAGCAGACUAUGGUAACACUGUUAAGCUAAUACCAACUAUACUGAAAAUAUGUAAAACCAAGUAAACUCAGUUUUGAGUAUUUCUCGUUCCCUGCUACGUCAUCUUGGAUGUUGAGGUGAUAGUGGUGUUUGUUUUUGGUUUUUUUUUGACAAUUUCUUUAUAACAAAGUUUCCUCUGGGUCUUGCUUUUGUGGUUUGAAAUCAGUGCUUUGUGGCCUGCAAUGGCCCAGGGCAAGAUAAAUAAAAGUUGAAGUGUGUUUCGUCAGAGCUGGAUGAUAGUGGUGUCUUUAUCCUUUCCCUUCUCUCUGGCUGUAGAGAAAGGCACAGUGGUGAAAGGGUAUAUUGGGCAGUUCAGUGGUAGAAGACAACAAAUGUGAUGUUUGGUUUUUUUUUUUUUUGCUGUUCUCCCAUAGAGACCUUCAGAGGUAGAUCUGAAAAGCAGCUCAUGGAAAAAUUAGAAGAGCUGUGUGACAGGCAAUCCAGGACGCUGUCUUCACGCUGUAGAUGGCCAUCAGCCAAAAUCUCUGUUCAAGAACAGCAGAAGAACAAGGAUGUUGCCUUCCUCCCAUCUUCACCAAGUUCUCUGAGGAUGGACGCAGUGAGGUUACAGUGCCUGCCAGAGCCUCUAACUGUGUACAUAGAUUUAAGAGAUGCUGAACCACAGAAGUCGGUAACAUUCCCUGAUGAGAAACAGAGUGCAGAUGACAGCUCCACUGAUGAAGAUGAGACUAUGACUGUUAUGGACCAGGAAGAGAGGAAAAGCAGGAAGAAUUGCUCAGGGAAGUGUCAGCUACUGCAACAACUCCGUAGAGUCCGUAAAGAGGCCUCAGAGGUUCUUCACAAAGAAUCUGCCCCAGCUGGAAGACUCAAGGGCAUAAAACAGGAUCCAGAAAGUCUGGAAGAGAUGGAUGCCUUUAAAGUCAGUCGAAAUAAAAAUUUUGAAGUGAGAGAAGGGAUGAAUGAGUUCAUUUCCAGGAAACUGGUGAGGCUGGAGCCAGAAAAAAGAAAUUUCUCCUUGUCAAGCCAGAGAGACAAUGGAAAUGAUAAAGCUGAGAAGGUUCAACAUUCAGGAAAUGCUUCAGAAUCUCCUCUGCCUACAGAAGAAUUUCCAAGGACGGAAGAAAGUAACAGAGAGCUAUCCCAAAAGGAAGAACAGAUGAAAGAGAAACACGUGAAAUGCAGAUUCCAGGAGCAGCUGGAGAGAUGGCAGCCUCAGUCAGUUACUGGAAAGCAGCCCAUGGCAGAGAAAGCACCUGUUUUGUUCCACAUGGAAACCUCUUAUUUGCCAGUUGUUGACAGGUUGCCUGGACCGGACAGUAUGAGAGAUGAAGAGCUGCUGAUGACUGUCUGGCUGUCGAGUUGUGGCCGGGUACCCAGAGAUGAGAGCAGCGGGCGGAUGCACAGCACUGCACCGAGAGCAGCUGCCUUCUACCGUGCCCUUGUGGCAUGGCUUCUAUCUCUGGUACCUCCUGUGAAAAUGGAAGGUGGACCCAAAGCUCCGUUUCAGGCAGUAUGUCUACAGCAGGCCUGGCAGGAGGACGGAUCGGCCCUGUCUGCUUGUGUAAGGCCAACAGAUGAAUCUCCAACCCAGCACUUGAUGCUGAUUAAAGAAAGGUUAAGGAAGAUUAAAGUAAGGAGCAUUUAAAUGUGCUAGUCGUGCAGAACUGCCAUAGGGUGUUACUACUACUUGUCACUAAGAACCAGGCUUGGGUGUGCCUAUUUAAGCUCAAAUCUCAGUGAGAAGGAUAGAAAAGUGUAAAUGCUGCUCUAAAUUAGAAUGAAGCCCAGUACUGUGGGAACUGAAGGACUGCUUGCAGCUAAUUGCCCACUCAGGCUGUCCUUGGUUAUGUGGUGCAGAUGAGAAACCAGCUCUAUACAGCAGAGUCUUUUGUUUCUGCUGCUCAUUAACUGUUAACGUGUUUUUUGGUGGCUGUAACCUCAUGGUGCAAAGAUCUGCCUGGAUCCAGAGGAGACCUAUCUUUGACAUGUAUUAUGCUUUGUGCUGUUAUUUUUUAACCACGUGAAGAGUGUGACUUAUGAGAGGGAAUACUGUCCUGCUAUUCAAGCUCCCAAGAGUCAGGGCCCAGAGAAAGGACCUGGGAUCCUGUUCCUUCUGUCCUGCCAGACUACAGUGUCUGUCUUGCACAACAAAACACCAAGCUGAAAGGUCUAGCACAAGCUGAAAUCUAGCAUGUGUAGGUGGCACGUUGUAACAUAAGGCAUGUUGUGAGCUUGUGUCCUGAAAACAGGGGAGAUUUGAUGUAGCAACUCUGGGCCAUAAUCUGUUGGUUCUGUUUUUCAUCAGAGCUAAUUUGGACAAGACUGAUUGUCUGAACAUCGUGAUGCAUCCGGUUUGUUUUCCUCUUUAAAUACUGCUUGUUAGGUACUGCCCUGAGACCUGCUGUGGCUUUGCUAAUCCUGCCUGGUGCAGACACCUGCCCUAUGUCGUAUUGAUGGGAGAUAUGCCAGGUGUAUUUGGUGAGCAGUGAGCUUUGCAUACCUGUGAUCUCCCACAAGUCACUUGCAUGAGUAAUGUUCCUGUUACUGAAUAAACUUACCCGAGAUGCUUGCCAAGUGCUUUGUUGGGUAUGCAAGUAUCUCCCAGCUCACUCAAAGUAACCUUUGUAGCUUUGGCAAACUGGGGCUGGGUUUUCUAUUCUUACCCAACAUAAUUCUUAAAUGGAAGAAGAGGUAUAAACAUGUUUUAAAAACAUGCUUAAGCUUCCUUUGUUCAGCUGCAGCAAGCAUUCUUUGCUUGCAACUGUCUGCCUCUGAGCAGUGAAGGUUGAAUUUCCCAUGAUGUAUCAUAAAGUAUGACAGCUGUGGCUCCAGUGUCGCACAAGUAAAUGAUUGAUGCUGGCAACAAAUGUCAUGAUUAAAAUACUACUGGAAAAAAAAAAAAAACAAGCCCAAAACAAUAAGCAACUUUUCUGUCAUUGCCCAUCCAUCUGUCGGAGAAAGCUGCAGGGCUAAUGAGAGGGAGCACCCUGCUGGACUGGACAAGGGCUUGAUGUUGGUUGCUGUCUAAGGUGACUGAGCUCAAGAAGCAUUCUGUGAAACAAAGAAAAUGGAGGAACAGAGACUGACCUGCCUUGUUGCUCUCUAAUUUCAAAUGGGGAGUUGGCCAAGGCAUCAAAAUUGUUGAGCACUGAGUGUGCUCAAAGUAUGUAUCCAGUGUCAAGUAAUUGAACGAUCUUCUGAAGCUGCAAGCUCAGGUUGCACCCAGCAUUUGGUUGGAGCUGGGCAGGGUUGUAUCACUGGUUGGCAGAAUGAGCCACGUGGAGUUUCCAGUCCGUGUAUAAAUUGUAAAUGCUGUUUUACUGCCCUGUUUACAUUCAUGGACAGUGCUGCUGAGUUCAGCUGCUAUGGGGGCGAGGUGAAUGUGCCACUCAUUCAAAUGGUGUUGCUCAAAGCAGGACUAUGUGUAACUGAGGUUUUCUCUCAUUAGAAG
RNAcentral lists this long non-coding RNA (3542 nucleotides) under Meleagris gallopavo (turkey). RNAcentral describes it as "lncRNA (ENSMGAG00000020094.1)". The record is from RNAcentral. Lineage: Eukaryota; Metazoa; Chordata; Aves; Galliformes; Phasianidae.